UACGGAGGGUGCAAGCGUUAUCCGGAAUCACUGGGUUUAAAGGGUGCGUAGGCGGUUUAGUAAGUCAGAAGUGAAAGCCUGCGGCUUAACCGUAGAAUUGCUUUUGAUACUGCUGAACUUGAAUUAGGUUGAGGUUGGCGGAAUGUGACAUGUAGCGGUGAAAUGCAUAGAUAUGUCAUAGAACACCAAUUGCGAAGGCAGCUGACUAGACCUUAAUUGACGCUGAGGCACGAAAGCGUGGGGAGCGAAC
Molecule: ribosomal RNA, 250 nt
Filed under: uncultured bacterium
Lineage: Bacteria
Description: partial 16S ribosomal RNA
Rfam family: Bacterial small subunit ribosomal RNA
Source: RNAcentral